Cinara cedri is the source of this 248-nucleotide non-coding RNA. NCBI's taxonomy places the organism in Eukaryota, Metazoa, Arthropoda, Insecta, Hemiptera, Aphididae. The record is from the annotation of a GenBank genome assembly.
UCAGCUAUUGCAACUAAAUUUCAACUAGCCAAUUGUAUAUAAUAUAUACAAUAAAGAAGCUCUAUUGUCGUUUUUUAUAUUGGACCAAGAUUUCUGGUAGAAAAAUUGCACACAAACACAAAUAAAAAACUGAUUCUGCUAAUCCAUGUGUUACUGUUAUAGGCAGAAAUUCGGGAAUGGAUUUGUACCCAACGAUAAAUCAUUGCUAACAGACCAUGAUUCUGAGUGGAGCUCGAUUAAGCAAUUCA